RNAcentral lists this ribosomal RNA (309 nucleotides) under Triticum aestivum (bread wheat). Its description in RNAcentral is "partial small subunit ribosomal RNA". The record is from RNAcentral. Lineage: Eukaryota; Viridiplantae; Streptophyta; Magnoliopsida; Poales; Poaceae.
AUGGAGCAGCCGAGUAAAGCAGAACUCAAUCACGAAAACAGCCAGCACCAACCUCGGAAACAUGAUCUUAAGCUGCCGGAAGAGAAGCUCAAUACCAUGGCCGUCCGGAUGGCGUUCUUUUACAAACUGAUGAGUGGCUGUGGUGCGCUGGCUUUCGCCUGGGCCACCGUGGUGCUGCUCGGUGGAUUCUCCACUCUGAUCAAGCAGAAGGACUUCUGGUUUGUAACCAUCAUCGUCUUCAUGGAAGCUACCUGGUAUGUACAUAUCACUCUUUUUUUAUUUAUUUUUUAUUGUAUUAUCUUGCAAUAA